RNAcentral lists this non-coding RNA (23 nucleotides) under Arabidopsis thaliana (thale cress). The record is from RNAcentral. Lineage: Eukaryota; Viridiplantae; Streptophyta; Magnoliopsida; Brassicales; Brassicaceae.
CCAUCCUGCCAGUUGCUCAAGCC